UUAACUCAAAUUUGUAUGGAGCUCAAACGUUUGCCUAAGUUUGCCGCUAGGGGCGCUGUUCCAACUCCAUACAAAUUCGAGUUA
Molecule: non-coding RNA, 84 nt
Organism: Bombyx mori (domestic silkworm)
Lineage: Eukaryota; Metazoa; Arthropoda; Insecta; Lepidoptera; Bombycidae
Source: Rfam